CCCCCCGGACCUGGGACACUGUGCCUUGGUAAUCACUGGUGGUCCUGGUGUGGAGCUUGAUGGUGGCUUGGGUUCGUAGGUCGCGGCAGUGUGUCCUAACCCAGGGCUUCCUGGGUGGGGCCCCUGCCUUGAGUCGCUGGCGGCACACUUGCUACAGGCUUGGAAUAGGGGGCCCUUAGGUACCUGCGCCUGCCCGGCUCUCGUUGGGAGUCUGUGUGCGUUUCAGCUAUAGUGUUGGGGGUUGGUUCCCU
Molecule: long non-coding RNA, 251 nt
Filed under: Volvox carteri
Lineage: Eukaryota; Viridiplantae; Chlorophyta; Chlorophyceae; Chlamydomonadales; Volvocaceae
Description: long non-coding RNA (VCAR_LNC000246)
Source: RNAcentral